GAUAUUGGUCAAUAGCCUAACGGCUGAACCAGCAACUUGGAAGAAUGUAUAGCAAUAGCUAAUUGCAUCAACAAACUGUUGAUGCAAUAUCGACUCUGUCGAAUAAAGUUCUAGGUAGAAUUAUGAUAAUGACAUUGUCUGCCUAUGUGUCUUGACCAAAUUACGUGCCAGCUGUCGCGGUAAUACGUAGAAGACUAGUGUUAUUCAUCUUUAGUAGGUUUAAAGGGUACCUAGACGGUAAAUCAAGCCAUGUAAUGGGACUAAUUUACUAGAGUUAAUUGUGAGGGGGCUUUAAGGUACUGCUGGUGUAGAGAUGAAAUUCUUUGAUACCUCUUUUCGAAAGAAAAAUCACGGCACAGAUAUAGGUAAAAACAUCCCCUUAUGUAAUAACUGACGUUGAAGGACGAAGGCUUUUGGUCGCGAACAGGAUUAGAUACCCUAAUAGUAAAAGCAGAAAACGAUGAAUGUCAUAGAUUAGACAUAUGAUUUAUUCUAUAAACGAAAGUGUAAGCAUUCCCCCUCAAGAGUAAUUUGGCAACAUUGGAACUGAAAUCAUUAGACCGUUUCUGAAACCAGUAGUGAAGUAUGUUGUUUAAUUUGAUAACCCUCAAAAAACCUUACCACAAUUUGAAUAUAUA
This 638-nucleotide ribosomal RNA is filed under the name Lecanora orientoafricana. RNAcentral's name for it is "SSU rRNA". It matches the Rfam family "Bacterial small subunit ribosomal RNA", at positions 359 to 991 of the family's 1533-position model. Lineage: Eukaryota; Fungi; Ascomycota; Lecanoromycetes; Lecanorales; Lecanoraceae. The record is from RNAcentral.